Molecule: ribosomal RNA, 305 nt
Filed under: uncultured bacterium
Lineage: Bacteria
Description: bacterial SSU rRNA
Rfam family: Bacterial small subunit ribosomal RNA
Source: RNAcentral
GUGGCCUACGGGGCGCAGCAGUGGGGGAUAUUGAACAAUGGGGGAAACCCUGAUCCAGCGACGCCGCGUGAGUGAAGAAGUAUUUCGGUAUGUAAAGCUCUGUCAGCAGGGAAGAAAGAAAUGACGGUACCUGAGUAAGAAGCACCGGCUAAAUACGUGCCAGCAGCCGCGGUAAUACGUAUGGUGCAAGCGUUAUCCGGAUUUACUGGGUGUAAAGGGAGCGCAGGCGGCACGGCAAGCCUGAUGUGAAAGCCCGCGGCCCAACCGCGGGACUGCAUUGGGAACUACCGGGCUGGAGUGCCGGG